UGCCAGCCGCCGCGGUAAUACGGAGGGUGCAAACGUUGCUCGGAUUUAUUGGGCGUAAAGCGCGUGUAGGCGGCUGUUUAAGUCCAGUGUGAAAUCCCUCGGCUCAACCGAGGAACUGCGCUGGAUACUGGGCAGCUAGAGUACAGGAGAGGGUUGUGGAAUUCCCGGUGUAGAGGUGAAAUUCGUAGAUAUCGGGAGGAACACCAGUGGCGAAGGCGACAACCUGGCCAAAUACUGACGCUGAGGUGCGAAAGCGUGGGGAGCAAACAGGAUUAGAUA
RNAcentral lists this ribosomal RNA (279 nucleotides) under uncultured bacterium. RNAcentral's name for it is "partial 16S ribosomal RNA". It matches the Rfam family "Bacterial small subunit ribosomal RNA", at positions 506 to 784 of the family's 1533-position model. The record is from RNAcentral.